Molecule: long non-coding RNA, 8749 nt
Filed under: Equus caballus (horse)
Lineage: Eukaryota; Metazoa; Chordata; Mammalia; Perissodactyla; Equidae
Description: lncRNA (ENSECAG00000050284.1)
Source: RNAcentral
GGAGCAGUGACAGGACUGAAGGCUAGAGAGAACCCUCUUGAAAAGUGGAUGCUGGGCAUGGAAUCUGAGGCCCAGGCAGUUUAGGCAGUUUGCCUGAAGUCACACAGCUGAUGGGCUGGGCUUUGUACCCUCAGGCAGCUGACUCCAGAGCCCACGCUCUUCUCUUUAUCUCUCUGGGGAUCUUGCUCCAAAUUUGCACCUCAACGUCCUCUGUUGAGGGGCUGGGACCAGCAGGGCACACGCUUCAUACACAAAGCCCAGCACUGGAAAGAGGGAUGAUGUCUCCAUCAAAAACCAGCUCCCAAGCCUCAGCCUGGACACUCUGGCCCACCCCAGGGCCUGUGUCCACCCUGCAUGCCCCUCCGGAGCCCAGAACAAAGAAAGGAGAUUUAACUGCAUCGGAGGUUGGGAGAGUCAGAUCCAAACAGCACUUGGGCAGGCCUCACCCACAGCCUCCAGGAACCCCUCCAUGGGAACCAGGGCUCAGAGACACACUCCAUACCACUCCAGGCAACAACAGUGUGGCUCAUUCAUCUUGGCACUGACAGGGGCAGCUCACGGACAGCACUCAACAAGAACUGUGGAACCACCACUACUGGUCUCCUUUCGUGUCUUCUGUCACAUGAAUCAGAAGACCUGGCUGUUUAGCCUUUCUGAGCUCAAUUUCCUCCUUCUUUAAGAUAGGAGAAACCACGUCUACCUCGCUGGAGUGGCAGGAUAAAUAAGUGAGGAUACGGAUAUAAGAAAGAGGCCUGAAAGGAAGUACAAAAACCUGGAAGAGAGAAGCUCUGAGAACACCCUGAAGACUUGCUGACCGCUCUGGCCUUUAAAAUGCGAGGAGUAUGGUAAUCUAAUAAACGUGGCAACAAAGCCUUUGUCACCAAGCUAAUUUUAUUAGAACAGAUCUCAAAUGGCUAAUUUCCUUUUACUAAUGAGCAAAUUAGUUGAAUCUCUGAUCUGCUUUUAAGGCACUUAUACUAAUAAAACAUGAACGACAGUGAAAUUUGUUGUGAGAUGUGGUGACAUCCUUGGGUUGCAGUGAGUCUCCAAGCUUGGAGGGUUGUUCUGACGUGGCCUGGCCCAGGGGGGCCUCCUGUCUGUGCAGGUCUGCUCAGAGCCCAGCCCCGCCUGAGGGAGGCAGGGUGUCAGAGGGGGACACAGGAUGGAGGAGGAAGGAGGGAGGAGGAGGAGGAGGAUGGAGGGGACAGGAGAGGAGAAUGGAGGCGGGGGAGCAGCAGGAGGUGGAUGGAGGAGGAGGAGACGGAAGAGGAGGACGGAGGAGAAUAGAGGAGGAUAGCAGAGGAGGAGGAUGGAGGAGGAAGAUGGAAGAGGAGAAAGGUGGAGGAAUCAGAGAAAGGAGGCAGGAGAUGGAAGAGGAUGGAGGAGGAAAUGGAGGUGGAAGUAAAGGAAUAUGGAGGAGGAGGAAGAAAGAGGAGUCAAAUGGAGGAGGAUGGAGGAGGGGGAAGAAGAGGAGGAGGAUCAGUGAGGAGCAGGGGGCCCAGGCCAACGCAGAGCAAGCAGUGAGGGGCCAGGAUGGGGCCCCAGUGCAGGCUGUACCCGCCUGAGCCCCUGGUUUGAUUGUCAGACCCGGGGAGCCUCAGGGAAGCUAGGUGAGGCAUGUGGGGGAACUUGCUGUGCUGAUUGUUAAUUCAAAAUAAAAAGGCUUAAAAAGUCGAUAUGAGCAUACUCCACGCACUGCUAACAAGCAGGGGAAGAGCAGGAGGGAAGGACAGUGAGGAUUGUUGGGGCACGGAGCUCGUCCUGCAGGGGACAGAGGACAUAUGCACCUGGGUCUCCUGCUCCUUGGGCUCACACCUGCCCUCCCUCACCUGUGCCCUGCGUGGUGACAGGACCCUUCCCCUGGGGUGCUUGACCUUCAGGGGUUAAGGACUAAGUGCUGACCCUGUUCCACUGGUCUGCACUGUGGACCCAGAGGCUUCACUGUCGGGAGGAAUGGCAGUCCUUCCCACAGUUCUGCCCACUGCCUGGCACCCACUCUGCUUCCUGUCCACAUAGUUGGAGGCACUCGUGCUCUGCGAUAGGCUCUGCAACACUCGCACUGCCCCACUUGACCUUCACGUCCCUUUCUAGACAACUCUCACAGAGAUUGGUAAGACAGGUGAGCGUAACCUGCUCCCUCUUCCCUUGGGGCCACUUUUGGAACAGUGGCCAAUGAGUGGGCAGCGCUGGCCUACCUGGGCUGAGGCCAAGGGUGACACUGACCCCCUGGCACUGACAGUGAUCCGGCCUCAUGCAGCCCUCCCACAGCAUCCUGGGGUGUGGGGUGCUGCCCGUGGUGCCUCCAGGAGAGGAGACUGAGGUUAGAGCUUCGACAACUCGCCCAGGGCCCCACCACUCACUCAGAAGCCCCGCACUGUGUGAUGCUAGACUCUAGCCUUGACCUCUCCAGCCUGUCUAGAUUUGGGGACCCCUGGACAGGUGAUGAGCAUCUGUCCUGAGGGCUGGAACAGGGGCACAGCCCCCUGUCCCAAGUUCUCUAGACUUGUCACCCACCCCAUGCCCCUUGUAUGCUCCCUGGUGGUUCAGUCCAUCUGGGUGUUCUCCAGGACCUCAUGUCCCACAAGGUAAACCCAAACCCUCCCGAUUGAUUGGUGCUGUUCUCUAGGUUGAUUCACCAGCCAGAAUCAGUUAAGAUUUAAGGAGAAUGGAGUAGAUGUAAGAGUUCCUGUUGCCUAUUAAGGACUGGGUGCUUGCCUGGUCUGUGGAAGCGCCUGGAAGCUGGUCCUAGAGACCUCUGGUCUCCAAUCCCUGCUCUACCCUGCUGCAGGGACAUCCCCAGGUUAAGUGCAUGGUCCAGGGAACAGCUGAGAGGGCAGGAGCAAGGGGGUGUCCAUGGGUGGGAGUGCCCCUGGAAGUUCUUUCAAUCUAUGUGCAGUUCUCAACUCCCACCUUCAGGAUCCCUCAGGAUUGGGAUGGUGGGGAAUGUGGCUCUGAGGACGGAUUUUGUUAAAUUCAUAAAUCAUCAAAUUCAGCCAUUAAAGUAUACAACUCAGUGGUUUUUAGAGUAUUUACAGAGUUGUGCAGUUGUCAUCACUAUUUCCACAGCGUUUCACUACCCCACAAAGAAAUCUCUUACCCAUCAGCAGGUGCCCCCAUGGCCCUCUCCCCCAGCCCCUGUGGACCACUGGACCACUUGCUGUGUCUAUAGAUCUGGCUAUUCUGGACAUUUCAUAUAAAUGGAAUCAUACAAUAUGUAGCCUUUUGUGUCUGACUUCUUUCACUUAGCAUAAUGUCCAUCCAUGUAGUAGCAUGUACCAAAAUUUCGUUCCUUUCUACGGUGGAAUAAUAUUCCAUUGCAUGUAUAGAUCACAUUUUGUUUAUCCAUUCAUCUGUCCAUAGACACUUAGACUGUUUCCGCCUUUUUGCUAUUGUGAGUAGUUCUUCUAUGAAUAUGCACGUGCAAAUAUUUGAGUACCUGUUUUCACUUCUCCUGGGUCUAUACCUAUGAGCAGAAUUGCUGGGUCAUAUGGUAACUCUAGGUUUAACUUUUUGAGGAACUACCAAACUGUUUUCCACAGCAGCUGCACCAUUUUACAUUCCUUCCAGCAACAGAGGAGUGUUCUAAUUUCUCCACAUCCUCGCCAACACUUGUUCUUUUCCAUUUUCUUGGUAACAGCCAUUCCAAUGGGUGACAAGUAGUAUCUCAUUGUGGUUUUGAUUUGCAUUUCCCCGAGGGCUAACGCCAUUGCACAUCUUUUCAUGUGCUUGUUGGCCGUUAGUCUAUCACUUUAGAGAAAUGUCUGUCUAAGUCCUUUGUCCAUUUUCUAACUGGGCUAUUCGUCUUUUCAUUGUUGAGUUAUGAGUUCUUUACGUAUUCUGUAUACUAGACCUGGUAUCAGAUAGGCAAUUUGCAUUCAUUUUCACCCAUCAUGUGGGUUGCCUUUUUGCUUUCUCGAUGCUAUCAUUUGAAGCACUGAAGUUUUAAUUGUGAUGAAGUCAAGUUUAUUGAUUUUUUUUAUUGCUUGUGCUUUUGGUGUCCAAGAGCAAAAUUUGAUUCCCAGUAAGCCUGCAGGAAGCCGCUCAUCAGCAGCAGCUGCCCUCUCCUUUCCUCAGUGCCAGCGCCGGGUCGAGAGGACACCACACUGCACUGCAGAUCAGCAGUCCAUCUGACCUCUGGGUCCUCCUGUCCCUUAUAAAGCUGGCUGAAGAGAGCUUUGUAAUCUCAUUAUGACGGAAUUUCCCAGGUGGCUGGGAAGGCAGCCUGUAAGCGGGAGUGUUAGAAAGUGAGUGUGAACCUAUGAUCCACCAACCCAGGAUGUCACCCAACCUGGCUGUAGGGUUUUCUCCACUCAGAUCGGACAGCCUGGGGAGCUGCCAAGAGGGAACAGACUUGUUUGUUCUUGAAGCUCUUCAGUGCAGUGUAAUACUCAGAGUUUUUGUCUUGCAGCAUGGACACGAAGGAGGACCUGGGGAGCCAGCUGGCCCUAGAACAAGCAGCGAUAACAGCCAAAUGCAAUCAGGUAAGGCCCAGGGGGAGAUCAUAGCCACUAGGAGCAGAUACAGGCCAGGCAGGGACCAUGGCCAGCAGAAGCAGGGGAGACUCAGUGCGGGAUCAUAGCCAAGGACGAGCAGGUCCAAGCAGGAAUGAUAGUGAAGGACAAGCAGGUGAGACCCAGGCAGGAAUCAUAAGCAUCAAUAGCAGGUAAGGCCCAAGCAGGGGUCAUCCCCAGUAGAAGCAGGUACUUCCCUGGUGGGGGCCAUAGUCAAGGAUGAGCAGGAACAGCCCAGGCGGAGAUCAUAGGCAGCAGGAACAGAUGAGACCCAGGUGGGGAUCAUGUAACAGGAGCAGGUACGUCCCAGGCAGGAUCAUAGCCAAGGAUGAGCAGGUGAGGCCCAGGUGAGGAUCCUAGCCAGUAGAAGCAGGUGAGGCUGCUCCCAUUCAGGCAGGCGGGUCCUCGCCUCUUGUGCUGUGCCCAGUCAGAGGUUCCUGGGCUCCCUCAGGAUGCAGGAGCUGGCCUGCUCCCUCCUCGCCCCCUGUCCCUGGCUCUAGUAUGCCCUCACUGUGAUGCCUCCCCCCCCCACCUUGGGUUUCAGGGAUGACAUGCAGGGUGCCUGCAGAACCUGCGGAGGAUGCUGACCUCUCACUAUACAAAGUCACCGACCAUCUUGCUUUUCUGCAGUGAGUUGUCUAGACACCCCUCCAUCUCAACUCAGGGAUGGUCUCUGUUUGCAGAAACACCUCUCUGGAGGCAGGACCUGUCUCCCCAGCUCAGGGCCUUAUCCCCUGGUGCCCACUGUGGGCCAGGGUGUGCACUGGGCUCAAGCCAAGAGACCCAGCAUGCAAACUUGAGGAAAUGGGCAGGGGGUGGAGCUGGGCAUUGGGCCAGGUGCUUGGGCCUUCAGCAGUGUGGCCUCCAUGCCCGUAACGGAGAGGGGGUGAUGGUGUCCACCUCCCAGGCCAGAGGGAGAGUCCAGCCCGGUCAGCAGUGGUUCCACAGGGUGAGGGGCACCUGAGCAAGCCUGUGGGCAGUUGUCCAGCAGGUCUCCGAGGGCUCAAGUGGGCCCAGUUGAGUGGCCAUGUGGCGACUAGCAUGAGGGCAACAAGGGGUGUGGCCUCAGGCAUUGAGGGGACAGGCAGGGGGAGCAUUCUGGCAGGACCUGGCCUCAGAAUCUCAUGGGAUGGUGACAGGCAGGUCGAGUUUGAGGCUGAAGACAACCUGACCCCUUGGUCUGGUGCUAGGAGGAGAUUUGGGGUGGAAGGCGGGCCAGGUUGUUGUCAAGGGUGAGAGGAGAGGACACUGGAGGAGGAUGGGAUUAGGGUGGUGUGUGUGUGUGUGUGUGUGUGUGUGUGUCUACCUGGACGGAGCUAGCCUGCAGCAGGGCCGAAGGCGCUGGGCUCCUGGGAUGGUGGCAUCCUCUUUGGGGGAGGACAGCCUGGAAUGGGGAGAGGCCCAGGGCCAAAGCGACUCACCUGAGACACCUGAGCCAGGAGCCUCGGUCAGUCCUGAAGGCAUGAAGGCCUCUGCAGUGCUCUCUAAAGACACUGCUGGUCAAAAGUGCAGGCGAGAAGCCGUGGAGGAGGCGCCAUGAUCAGGCGGGGGAGGGGUGGUGGUGCAGAGCAGAGAGGGUGGAUGACCCCCAUCAGCAGAAGGGAGGAUGGGGAGGAGGCUGCCCUGGUGCAUGGAGUGUGAAGGUAGAGAGCGCAGCAGGCUGUGCGGUGAUGCUGCAGUGGGAGGGAAGGAAGCCAACGGCCACCAUGAGAAGCAGGCUGAGGCUGGAUACACGGCACGGGGCCAACCUGUCUGCCCCUCGGUCACACUCAUUGCCCAGUGGAUGAGCAGUUGUUUGGGCCAAUCAGGGGUGGGUCGUGCUCAGAGGUUCUGACAAGAUAAGGGGUAAAAGAUAGGCCAGAGUGGCUGAAGUGACGGACGAGAGAGGGGUGAAGUCAGGGGACGGGAGGGGUGCAGAGAGAGGCAGGAUAGACGGCAGACAGACCCAUGAGGGGCAUGAGGAUGUCAGCAGGAUGGGCACAGGGUGUACCCUGGCUGUACUGGGGAGUUCUCAGGCUGGCCCAACCCCAGGACAGUGGCAGGUCACCUUCUGGGGGCCUGCUAUCAGGACGCAGCCCAUUCCCCGUGCCAGCACUGUCCCUUCUUAGGCUCCUACAGAGGCCACUGCCUCUGGCAUGACUGUGGCUGGAGCCCCAUAAGCACCUGGCAGCCGCUGCCCUCCCUCUGCCCCAUGUUGCUGGCACCCUCCUGGGGUUAGCCCUCCCUUCCAGAGUCACCUGGGCUGAGACUUGGGGUUUAGUGAGGGGAGGGCCUGGUCCUUCCCUGGCACCUGGCCUGGGGCAGGUCCUCAUGGCUCUGCUUCUUUUGCCUUCCAGUGAGAAGGAGCUGCCCAGCCUCAGCACCCGGGGCGGGGGGGGGGGGGGGGGGGGGGGGGCCGGUAAUGGUAAGAGCUUGUCCUCACUGUGCAGGCAGGAGGAGGUCCAUGGGUGCAGGGACUGGGGUUCCUGCCACCCCCGACCUCCAAGCUGUCCUGGGGGAGGUUUUACCAAAUCCACUUGUCCCAGAACCACACACUCAGCUCAGGGGUCACUGCCCGCUGGCUGCCAAGACCCCACCUCGAGGCUGGGACCCAGCUGGAAGCCCUGGUGUCUGUGUGAGUCAGUCUGUGCCUUUUCUGGCUCCUCUGAGUUCGCCCACAUCGGGGCUCCUAAGCAUGACUCAACGCUGUGCCACUCCAGGAAAGCUGGCAGCUUGGCUAACACCACCAUUUCUCAUUUUCUAGCAGAAACUCCGGGAGACUGGGCGAGCAGAUAAGUGGGUCAAGAUGCUAAAGGAAUGGUAUAAAUACCAGAGCAGCAAGAAGAUAGAGAACUGAGCACUAGAUAGGCGGUAUGCUCUCCUGAUCCCAAGGAGGACGGGCCUGGAUCCCCAGGGCAGCUCGCAGCUUCCCUGACCACCCCACAAGGGUCACCUCGCCUGGAGAGGAUCUGACGCCAGAGCCGGAGCCAGCCCAGGCCCAGGGCCUCAUAGGGAAGGAUAAGUCAGGACCAUAGUUCACAAUGUCCCUCGAGCCCUCGUCCACUCUUAAUUGUGGGAGACAGGGCCCAGUUCUGGGUAAACCCAACCUCUUCUGAGAAACCACGGAGCUGAAGACUAGAAUCUUCCAGAUGCGUCCGACUCAUCUCCUCCGCAGCGUCGCCCUGUGGCCUGUUUCACCAGAGCUUUCUUCUAUCCUGUAGAAGCAUCGAAGGUCUCCAAAGGAAUCCUUUGACAGAUGCAAGAUCAGGUGUGGUCUCUCCGAUUGGACGUUCAGAAGCUAAAGGCAGAGAAUGAAGGAAAACCUGAGGUGGCCCUUCUGCACCCGGCAGAGGCAGCGCUGACAGGCCAAGCCCUCCCAGGAGCUUGCUUAAGGGAGCAGGUCGUGUACCACGGGGACCCCUCGCCUGUCCUGAGCACUUUCCUGGUACCUCCUAGACUCAACGGCUUGGGGCACUCCUGCUGGGAAAGCCCUGCCCCUCUCUAUGCUGCCUGGGCCUCAGUUCCGCCCAGCUCAGCCCAGUGCAGACAUUGGAUCCAGGGAUGGAUGGACGCCACUGGAAUCAAACCAAGGCCUCUCAGACACCUGAGUGGGGGCCAGAGUCACACAGCAAAGGAUAGAAACCAGGGAAAAAGAGCAAGGAAGCACACGCACACAAACCAUAAAAUGAGAAAAGCAAAACCAAACAGACGUGAACAACAGAUAUAAGUUAAAUUGAAUAAACAGAAAAAGACUUAAUUGAGACAAUAAACGGGUCUUUUCCCAUCCCCCCAGUGAGGAGCCUGCACCUGGCUUCAUUCUCAAUGCUCACGUCUCCCACUAGGGUGCCCCCCAGGUCGUACUGCCUCAGGGAGGGAAAGGGCAGUGAUGCACCCAGACCAAGUGGGACCGGCCCAGCGAAGCCUGGACACUGGGAAAUGCAGCUGGGAGAGGGUAUAGAGAUGGUCACACUUCAAUGAGCAGCCCAAGAAUAGAUAAUUGCUUAAUGUGGUAAAUAGAUAUGGAUGUAGACACCCAUUGAUAAUUGUGGAGCAACAACCAGCAUCAUGCUUAAUUGUGAAACCCUCAAAGGGCACCCGUAAAACUGGAGACAAGAAGAGGGUCUAGUUACCCAUUGCACAGCUUGUUACCGUGGUCCUGCAAAUGGGCUCAGUGCGAUGGGACAGGAUAAGUAAGGCAUUUAGAGAAGAGGCAGGAUUAUUUUUGGCUGUGGAAUGCUGUCCUGGCAAGAGGGUGAGCC